CCUCCCAAAGUGCUGGGAUUACAGGUGUGAGCCACUGUGUUACCUAGAUAAUGUGAUAACCUCCUAACUGGUCUCCUUGUCUCAAAUCUGGAUUCUCUCUCAUCCAUCUACACUGUAGCCAAAAUGUUCUCAAAUACAAAUAUUUGUGUGACUUUCUAGUGUAAUCCUCUUCACUGUUCAUGGGUAAAAUCCAGACUUCCACACACUCUAGCCCCUCUUUGCCUCUGCAGGCUCAUCUCUCACCACUUCUUGCGGUUGAAAUUUCAUUCCUUUCAGCCAAAAGUCCUUUGCCAGGAUGCAGCUGAUGCCACCAAGAACCUUCUCCCAUAGCACUCCACCUGGUGGCUCUUAGAAGUGCUUCCUGACUUGCUGAAAUCUGAAUUCAGUGCACCUUGUGUUUGACAACAGUGUUACUCCGGGUGCAGAUCUGUGAUCUGCAAACUGAAGGUCUGUGGCAAGAAUGCAAGACAAGAAUAAUAAAGGAGACAAUUGUCAGCAUUUCCAGAAAGCGCUACAGCCAACUUAUGUUUCCUGUCUGCAUGACUCCUUCAACCUCUGUCAGAGAACAUUGAUGUGGCCAGCUACAUUCUUCACUCCCUAUCAUCCCAGAACAUGAAUGGGAAGAGGAUGAGACCUUGGCUCCUGUCCAGUUUUUAGAGCUUUCCGACUCUCAUAUUUACUAUAUAAUGCACACAGUAUAUUAUAUUGUUUGUGUGUCUGUGUGUGAUAAUAGUUACGUAAAAUAACCUAAAUCUUCAGAGAUUGGUGUCAAAAGAGGAAGCCCCACUUCCUGUUCUAUGUAGUCAGAAUCGUCUUUUUCUUCAUCUUCUUCCUCUUCUUCUUCCUCAUUUUUUUGUAUGGAGUUGAACCAAUUACAGCGACCCUGGGAAUGAAUGUUGCAAGAUUUAGUAGUCUAAUGGGGACCUUAAAAUUUCAGAUUAUUCAUUUGAAUUGAUCAGGAUGAAGUGUAACUCUGUGGGAAUUUAAUCAAUUAUUCAUUCAUUCAUUCUACAUACAUUUUCCAAGUGCUAUUUUGAUCUAGGUUGUUUCAAGGAAAGGACCGUGCUAUUUAUUUUAAGAAUUUGCCAAAUUCUUGAAGUCACAGAAUGUGUAUUUUUAAAUUAUCACUUAUAUUUUAAAAUUAGCAGAACCUUAGUGAAAAAGGUAAGAGUGUAUUUUACUGGUUUGUGGUAAAUAAUUUAUGUGAGAGAGCUAAAGCUAUUAUGAUGAUUAUUAUUAACAAUAACAUUUAAAUGUGGUAAGAUUAUUUAUGGAGGUUUAGGGUUUAUAAUGUCUCAGUUAGCUCUUAUGUAGAGAAAGCUAAGAGUAUCUCUUAUCUAGAUCAAAGUAUAACGAAGAUUUUCUACCUGCAGAUGAGGUAAUAUAGCACAGGGGUUAAGUGGAUGCACUGGGUCCACUCUGUGCAGCCUCACAUCUGAUUCUGUUCCUUAUUAGUUAUGUUCCUUUUGUCACAUUUCCUAAACUCUCUUUCAAUUUCCUCAUCUGAAAAUUAAGGAUAAUAAUACUAUGUCAUGGGGUUGCUGUGAAGAUUAAAUCUUGUACACACGCACAAACACACACCCCAACACACACACACCUGGCACAAUAGGUAUUAUAUAACUGCUAUACAGCACUGUUUCCUUGCUUUUUGUUUUUGUUACAAUCCCUUAUUGUUCUUGGCACAAAAGCUACAUGUAUUAUAGAGAUAAAAUUAAAGAACUAUUUUCAAAAUUAAUGUACCCAUCUAUAUUAAACAUAUAAAAAUUGAGUAAUUUCAGAACACACAAAUCUAAAUCUGUACAUCAUCUGUCAAACGCUCCAUAGAAGAAUGUGUUUUAUUUUCAAAUAGAAAAUAAAGUCUGUUUGGAGAUCCCUGGGACCUUCAGUUAUAUAGACAAUUAUAUAGACACUGGCAAUUGUAUAUUACUCUGCAUUUUUGGCUGUGUUUUUAAUUAUCUCUUUUCCUGCCUAUUAAAUAGAGUCCAAAGGCC
Molecule: long non-coding RNA, 1991 nt
Organism: Homo sapiens (human)
Lineage: Eukaryota; Metazoa; Chordata; Mammalia; Primates; Hominidae
Exons: 2
Source: RefSeq, a predicted model, not a curated record